UACGUAGGCAGCAAGCGUUGUUCGGAGUUACUGGGCUUAAAGGGUGCGUAGGCGGCGCAGAAAGUAGGGUGUGAAAUCCCUCGGCUCAACCGAGGAACUGCGCCCUAAACUACUGUGCUCGAGGGAGGUAGAGGUGAGCGGAACUUAGGGUGGAGCGGUGAAAUGCGUUGAUAUCCUAAGGAACACCGGUGGCGAAAGCGGCUCACUGGACCUCUUCUGACGCUGAGGCACGAAAGCUAGGGUAGCGAACGGG
RNAcentral lists this ribosomal RNA (253 nucleotides) under uncultured bacterium. RNAcentral describes it as "partial 16S ribosomal RNA". It matches the Rfam family "Bacterial small subunit ribosomal RNA", at positions 524 to 776 of the family's 1533-position model. The record is from RNAcentral.